Molecule: ribosomal RNA, 441 nt
Filed under: uncultured bacterium
Lineage: Bacteria
Description: partial 16S ribosomal RNA
Rfam family: Bacterial small subunit ribosomal RNA
Source: RNAcentral
CCUACGGGUGGCAGCAGUGGGGGAUAUUGCACAAUGGGGGAAACCCUGAUGCAGCGACGCCGCGUGGGUGAAGAAGUAUUUCGGUAUGUAAAGCCCUAUCAGCAGGGAAGAAAGAAGACGGUACCUGACUAAGAAGCCCCGGCUAACUACGUGCCAGCAGCCGCGGUAAUACGUAGGGGGCGAGCGUUAUCCGGAUUCACUGGGUGUAAAGGGAGCGUAGACGGCCGUGCAAGCCAGGAGUGAAAGCCCGGGGCCCAACCCCGGGACUGCUCUUGGAACUGUGCGGCUGGAGUGCGGGAGGGGCAGGCGGAAUUCCGGGUGUAGCGGUGAAAUGCGUAGAUAUCAGGAGGAACACCGGCGGCGAAGGCGGCCUGCUGGACCGCGACUGACGUUGAGGCUCGAAAGCGUGGGGAGCGAACAGGAUUAGAUACCCCUGUAGUC